Molecule: long non-coding RNA, 1382 nt
Organism: Humulus lupulus (European hop)
Lineage: Eukaryota; Viridiplantae; Streptophyta; Magnoliopsida; Rosales; Cannabaceae
Exons: 9
Source: RefSeq, a predicted model, not a curated record
UCUUUCUCUCUCUCUCUUUCUCUCUCUCACAUCCCUCGCCUCUGUCUAAAUCCUUAGGGUUCCUUAAUACCUCUGCUCUCUCACAACUCCACAGCAAAGAUUGGUUUCUCAUUUUAAGGAAAUGGGAUUCCAGGAUUGGUCAUGAGAUGGCCACAUAGGGACUAAAGCCAAGCAAAUCCUCAUCCUAUUGUUUUAGUCGAUAUGUAUGCACCAUCAAGUCUAUCCAUAUAAUGUCGUCACACCAGUCGAGACAUUUGGAGCCAUUAUUUCUUCUCCUCUGUUACUCCCUUCAACAUUUCCAUUAGAUGUUAAUUAUUUUAGAGUAAAAGCUUUGAUUUUUAUGAGUAUUAAUGUUCAAACUAGAAGUACGAUGUUGUUUUUUUAUGCAAAAAUGGGUGCUCCAGGGAAAUGGGUGCUUCAAGGAAAAUGGAUAAAAGCUUUAGUAGGUAUGAAGAAGCCAGAGAAAGAAAAAAAAAUGUAAGCUUAGCUAUAAAUCUUCACAAUUAAUCAAGCAUUUUUUGGGUUGUUUUUGGUUAUAUGGUUACACCAGUUUUCAAUAUUUGUUUCCCUAUGUGUCCGAGGUGUGCUGGUAAAAAGCAAGAAAUGGGGACUACGCAAAGAGUUCUUGUAACGAGAGUACAGGAGAUGAUGUGGGCAUUAAGGCUGAAAUUUAUCAUGGACAAACGAAAUAAUAUAGCUCGUGCUGAGUCCCAUAGGAAUAGAUAUGUCGGACAUUGGACAACCAUUACACUAUGGUCUCCCAAGAGUCUAGAAUGCUACUCCAACGAAAGUGGGCGUUGUGGGAGAGAUGUGGUUGAUUAGUCUUUGUGGACAUAUAAGUGAGUGGAGAGAAGGCACUUCAACUUGGAUUGCAAGUAAUAGCAAAGAUUAAGGGCAAUGCUGAUGCAGCUGAGGCACUUGAAUUCUUUACAACUGCUCCAGCCCUUGUGAUACCAAAAGCUAUUUCAAAUGCUGGUUUAGAUGCUUCUCAGAUUGAUUACUAUGAAAUAAAUGAAGCGUUUUUUGUUGUAGCUCUAGCCAAUCAAAAGUUGCUUGGUCUUAAUCCUGAAAGCCUUAACGUACAUGGUGGGGCUGUAUCAUUGGGACACCCAUUAGGAUGUAGUGGAGCUCGUAUCUUGGUCACAUUGUUAGGGGUAUAUUGAGAUGAUUUCUUUGGAGCAAUUCUUGACAACAUUUGUAGUUGAGACCUUUAGAAUGGAAGAAUGUAUUUCACUAAUUUUUGUAUACAUUUCUUGUUUUGUAUUUAGUGAUAAAGGAAUCUGAAUUGGGCAUAAAUUAUGUUGUAAUAUGAUUUCUUAAGCCUAGACUAGUAGACUAAAUAUUAUAAUUACAUUUGAGUAAUUAAUAAAAAUCUAUUUAUG